RNAcentral lists this ribosomal RNA (786 nucleotides) under uncultured Staphylococcus sp. RNAcentral describes it as "bacterial SSU rRNA". It matches the Rfam family "Bacterial small subunit ribosomal RNA", at positions 134 to 906 of the family's 1533-position model. The record is from RNAcentral. Lineage: Bacteria; Bacillati; Bacillota; Bacilli; Caryophanales; Staphylococcaceae.
AAGACUGGGAUAACUUCGGGAAACCGGAGCUAAUACCGGAUAACAUUUGGAACCGCAUGGUUCUAAAGUGAAAGAUGGUUUUGCUAUCACUUAUAGAUGGACCCGCGCCGUAUUAGCUAGUUGGUAAGGUAACGGCUUACCAAGGCGACGAUACGUAGCCGACCUGAGAGGGUGAUCGGCCACACUGGAACUGAGACACGGUCCAGACUCCUACGGGAGGCAGCAGUAGGGAAUCUUCCGCAAUGGGCGAAAGCCUGACGGAGCAACGCCGCGUGAGUGAUGAAGGGUUUCGGCUCGUAAAACUCUGUUAUUAGGGAAGAACAAAUGUGUAAGUAACUGUGCGCAUCUUGACGGUACCUAAUCAGAAAGCCACGGCCAACUAUGUGCCAGCAGCCGCGGUAAUACGUAGGUGGCAAGCGUUAUCCGGAAUUAUUGGGCGUAAAGCGCGCGUAGGCGGUUUCUUAAGUCUGAUGUGAAAGCCCACGGCUCAACCGUGGAGGGUCAUUGGAAACUGGGAAACUUGAGUGCAGAAGAGGAAAGUGGAAUUCCAUGUGUAGCGGUGAAAUGCGCAGAGAUAUGGAGGAACACCAGUGGCGAAGGCGACUUUCUGGUCUGUAACUGACGCUGAUGUGCGAAAGCGUGGGGAUCAAACAGGAUUAGAUACCCUGGUAGUCCACGCCGUAAACGAUGAGUGCUAAGUGUUAGGGGGUUUCCGCCCCUUAGUGCUGCAGCUAACGCAUUAAGCACUCCGCCUGGGGAGUACGACCGCAAGGUUGAAACUCAAAG